RNAcentral lists this ribosomal RNA (241 nucleotides) under uncultured bacterium. RNAcentral describes it as "partial 16S ribosomal RNA". It matches the Rfam family "Bacterial small subunit ribosomal RNA", at positions 92 to 334 of the family's 1533-position model. The record is from RNAcentral.
CGACCGGCGCACGGGUGAGUAACGCGUAUGUAAUCUACCUGUAACAGGGGGAUAACCCGGAGAAAUCCGGACUAAUACCUCAUAGCACAUAUUAUUCGCAUGAAUUUUAUGUUAAAGAGACUCGGUUACAGAUGAACAUGCGUUCCAUUAGCUAGUUGGCGGGGUUACGGCCCACCAAGGCAACGAUGGAUAGGGGCUCUGAGAGGAAGGUCCCCCACACUGGUACUGAGACACGGACCAG